AGAAUCAACGCUGGCGGCGUGCCUAACACAUGCAAGUCGAACGAGAAAGUGGAGCAAUCCAUGAGUAAAGUGGCGACCGGGUGAGUAACACGUGACUAACCUACCUUCGAGUGGGGGAUAACCCCGGGAAACCGGGGCUAAUACCGCAUAACAUCGCAAGAUCAAAGCAGCAAUGCGCUGGAAGAGGGGGUCGCGGCUGAUUAGCUAGUUGGCGGGUAACGCCCACCAAGGCGAAGAUCGGUAUCCGGCCUGAGAGGGCGCACGGACACACUGGAACUGAAACACGGUCCAGACUCCUACGGGAGGCAGCAGUGGGGAAUUUUGCGCAAUGGGGGAAACCCUGACGCAGCAACGCCGCGUGGAGGAUGAAGCCCCUUGGGGCGUAAACUCCUUUCGACCAAGACGAUAAUGACGGUACUGGUGGAAGAAGCACCGGCUAACUCUGCGCCAGCAGCCGC
Molecule: ribosomal RNA, 458 nt
Filed under: uncultured bacterium
Lineage: Bacteria
Description: SSU rRNA
Rfam family: Bacterial small subunit ribosomal RNA
Source: RNAcentral